GGUAACUUCAUCCAAAGGGAGUAGCUGUCAGCCUCUAAGGGCGGCGCUAGGUGAGCAAGGGCUCCAGACCUAGCGAGGUGAAUUGAAGCAAAUGAGGUGAGGUAAGAGCAUAGCUAGCCCUUCCUUGAAGCGUCGGGGCCGUGUCCAGGAAGGAUGGGGAGGGGUGCGGCUUUGCCGUUGGUGGAGAAGAGAUAAAGUUGUGAGAAAGAGAAAAAAUGAGGAUUGAUGUUUUCUGCUCAAAUUUGAGCAGGAAAGGUGAAUUUGAGGAGGUACUCAAACUUUUGAGGGAUUACAAGUUUUGAUGCAAGGGUUAAUUGUCGAAACAAUGGUUUUAGGGAUUAAAAGAUUUUAGUGGAAGGACUAGAAAUGUUGUAAGGGAGUUGGAAUUUUUGUCCAAAAGGACCCCCUGUCGAGUGGGAUUGUCAAAA
RNAcentral lists this long non-coding RNA (428 nucleotides) under Hordeum vulgare. RNAcentral describes it as "long non-coding RNA (HVUL_LNC020031)". Lineage: Eukaryota; Viridiplantae; Streptophyta; Magnoliopsida; Poales; Poaceae. The record is from RNAcentral.